Molecule: long non-coding RNA, 1001 nt
Filed under: Ricinus communis (castor bean)
Lineage: Eukaryota; Viridiplantae; Streptophyta; Magnoliopsida; Malpighiales; Euphorbiaceae
Description: long non-coding RNA (RCOM_LNC000834)
Source: RNAcentral
AUGAAUGGCUUUUGAUGCACAGACGUGGCCUGACUAACUUCAAGUAAAUUCUAAUCAAUCAUGCAAUCCAUGGAUGGCUUUGAUAAAUAUGCUAUUAGUCAGUCGCAUUCGUAACACGUGCACUGCACACACAAUUAAUACAUACAUUAUCAGGAUUUUGAUGAAAUGUAUCAAAGUUUUUCCAAGUUUGGCGAGCACCAUUAUUAUUUUUUCGUGUCAGAUCCUGACAACCAAGCAGAUACACAGGUUCUUCAUGUUCAUCUUCUUCUUCCUCCUUGCUAUGAUCCCACCAGGUAUAAGCUAGCACACGUGUACCUGCCCAUGAAGUUGUAUGAUGCUUCCUAUCAACGUUACUCGGCGUGUGUGAAAUCAUUUUGUCCUGAUGAACGCGGUUUUCAGAAAACAUACUGGUGAUUUUGGAUGCCAGCUUGCCCUUCUACCCGACCAUGAAGGUCCACCAAGAAUCCCUUCAUUUUGACCCAAUCUAAGCCACUGACUUAAAUUCACGGGCAAUCUCGUUGCCAAGUUCCUUCUAUUGAGAUCUCUCGUGUAUCUAAAUUAUUUUGAGUUGAUGUCAUAACAAACAUUGUAACCCCAUAUUAUAUAAGUGUGAAAAUACAGAGGGUACAUGACAAUUAUUUAACGAUAAGUGUAAUAUACUUGUAAUGAAAAAUCGAGUGGUUGCCUAUUGCAAAUAUGUAUGUGUGUGUGUGUAUAAGCUAGCAGAUCCAAUAAGAAGCAUUACAAAAUUUAAUGCAGAAACAGAUUUCAAGCUUAAGGUGUCAUAUGUUUCACAAGAGAGGAGCAGAGGUGGUUGGGUUAGGUUAUUGAGUGAGUCUUUAGGGUUCAGAACACUAGGUUUGGUUGGUGCAAACAUUAACAGAGGUACAUGAAUUAGAGGUUCAAUUUCAAUAUGCAGCAAUUUAAUUAUUAUUAUAUUUUCCUCUAUAAAACUAAUUAAGGUGGACCCUUUAGAGAAAAGGUGGUCCUAGUUAGCCAGA